UGAGUAAUCUGCCCUUCACUCUGGGAUAAGCUUCGGAAACGGGGUCUAAUACCGGAUACGACACGCCCACGCAUGUGGUGUGUGCGGAAACUUUUGUGGGUGGGGGAUGUGCUCGCGGCCUAUCAGCUUGUUGGUGGGGUAAUGGCCUACCACGGCUUCGACGGGUAGCCGGCCUGAGAGGGUGACCGGUCACACUGGGACUGAGACACGGCCCAGACUCCUACGGGAG
RNAcentral lists this ribosomal RNA (229 nucleotides) under uncultured bacterium. Its description in RNAcentral is "partial 16S ribosomal RNA". It matches the Rfam family "Bacterial small subunit ribosomal RNA", at positions 118 to 347 of the family's 1533-position model. The record is from RNAcentral.